GACGAACGCUGGCGGCGUGCUUAACACAUGCAAGUCAGGGGGUGGGGCAACCCAUCACCGGCGGACGGGUGCGUAACACGUGAGCGACCUGCCUUCGAGUGGGGGAUAGCCGGCCCAACGGCCGGGUAAUACCGCAUACGACACUGCCGGGGCAUCCCGGGGGUGUGAAACCACUUGGGCUCGGAGAGGGGCUCGCGGCCUAUCAGCUAGUUGGCGAGGUAACGGCUCACCAAGGCGAUGACGGGAGCUGGUCUGAGAGGAUGGCCAGCCACAUUGGGACUGAGAGACGGCCCAGACUCCUACGGGAGGCAGCAGUGGGGAAUCUUGCGCAAUGGCCGAAAGGCUGACGCAGCGACGCCG
RNAcentral lists this ribosomal RNA (360 nucleotides) under uncultured bacterium. Its description in RNAcentral is "bacterial SSU rRNA". It matches the Rfam family "Bacterial small subunit ribosomal RNA", at positions 28 to 399 of the family's 1533-position model. The record is from RNAcentral.